AUACGCUCUGACGCCUGCCCGGUGCCGGAAGGUUAAGAGGAUCCGUCAGGCUUCGGCCGAAGCGGUGAAUUCAAGCCCCGGUAAACGGCGGUGGUAACUAUAACCAUCCUAAGGUAGCGAAAUUCCUUGUCGGGUAAGUUCCGACCUGCACGAAUGGCGUAACGACUUCCCCACUGUCUCGACCAGGAGCUCGGCGAAAUUGCAGUACGAGUAAAGAUGCUCGUUAAGCGCAGAAGGACGAAAAGACCCCGGGACCUUUACUAUACCUUGGUAUUGGCAUUCGGUGUGGAUUGUGUAGCAUAGGCGGAAGGCUUCGAAGCCACGGCGCCAGCCGCGGUGGAGCCGCAAGGUGAAAUACCGCUCUGUUCGCAUUGGAUGUCUAACCUCGACCAGUCAUCCUGGUCAGGGACAGUGCCUGGCGGGUAGUUUAACUGGGGCGGUUGCCUCCCAAAGAGUAACGGAGGCGCUCAAAGGUUCCCUCAGCCCGGUUGGCAAUCGGGUGGCGAGUGUAAGUGCACAAGGGAGCUUGACUGCGAGACUGACGGGUCGAGCAGGGACGAAAGUCGGAACUAGUGAUCCGGUGCCGGUGUACGGACGCGGCAUCGCUCAACGGAUAAAAGGUACCCCGGGGAUAACAGGCUGAUCAUUCCCAAGAGUCCAUAUCGACGGGAUGGUUUGGCACCUCGAUGUCGGCUCGUCGCAUCCUGGGGCUGGAGCAGGUCCCAAGGGUUCGGCUGUUCGCCGAUUAAAGCGGCACGCGAGCUGGGUUCAGAACGUCGUGAGACAGUUUGGUCUCUAUCCUCUGCGCUCGUCGGAAUGUUGAGGAGGCCUGCCCAUAGUACGAGAGGACCUGGGUGGACGAACCUCUGGUAUGCCGGUUGUCACGCCAGUGGCACGGCCGGUUGGCUACGUUCGGAAGGGAUAACCGCUGAAAGCAUCUAAGCGGGAAGCCUGCUCCAAGAUAAGCAUUCCAUAGGACUACGGGUCCUUGAAGUCCCCAUGCAGAACACGUGGUUGAUAGGCCGGACGUGGAAGCCCCGCGAGGGGUGGAGCCGACCGGUACUAACGGACGAAAGGCAACACAAC
This 1086-nucleotide ribosomal RNA is filed under the name human gut metagenome. Its description in RNAcentral is "bacterial LSU rRNA". It matches the Rfam family "Bacterial large subunit ribosomal RNA", at positions 1845 to 2925 of the family's 2925-position model. The record is from RNAcentral.